RNAcentral lists this ribosomal RNA (378 nucleotides) under uncultured eukaryote. Its description in RNAcentral is "SSU rRNA". It matches the Rfam family "Eukaryotic small subunit ribosomal RNA", at positions 587 to 973 of the family's 1831-position model. The record is from RNAcentral.
AGCUCUCAAGGUGUAUAUCGCCAUUGCUGCGGUUAAAAAGCUCGUAGUUGGAUCUGCGCCUGUGGACCCGGUCCGCCCAAGUGGUGAGAACCGGACUCCCGGGCUGACCAGCCGGUUUUCGCGCGGUGCUCUUCACCGGGUGCCGCGCGCGACUGGCGAGUUUACUUUGAAGAAAUUAGAGUGCUCAAAACAGGCGUGCGCCUGCAUACUUGUGCAUGGAAUAAUGGAACAGGACCUCGGUCCGUUUUGUUGGUUUCGGAACUGAGAUAAUGGUUAAUAGGGAUGGACGGGGGCAUUCGUACCGCUGCGUGAGAGGUGAAAUUCUUGGACCGCAGCGAGACGCCCUACUGCGAAAGCAUUUGCCAAGAAUGUCUUCAA